GGUAAGGUGGCUGAGGGUUGAAGUGUUGGGCUGUAGUCCUUUUUACAGAGGUUUGAUCCCUCUUCUUACUG
Molecule: transfer RNA, 71 nt
Filed under: Manacus vitellinus (golden-collared manakin)
Lineage: Eukaryota; Metazoa; Chordata; Aves; Passeriformes; Pipridae
Rfam family: tRNA
About the family: Transfer RNA (tRNA) molecules are approximately 80 nucleotides in length. Their secondary structure includes four short double-helical elements and three loops (D, anti-codon, and T loops). Further hydrogen bonds mediate the characteristic L-shaped molecular structure. tRNAs have two regions of fundamental functional importance: the anti-codon, which is responsible for specific mRNA codon recognition, and the 3' end, to which the tRNAs corresponding amino acid is attached (by aminoacyl-tRNA synthetases). tRNAs cope with the degeneracy of the genetic code in two manners: having more than one tRNA (with a specific anti-codon) for a particular amino acid; and 'wobble' base-pairing, i.e. permitting non-standard base-pairing at the 3rd anti-codon position.
Source: Rfam by way of RNAcentral